This 222-nucleotide ribosomal RNA is filed under the name Staphylococcus succinus. Its description in RNAcentral is "partial 23S ribosomal RNA". It matches the Rfam family "Bacterial large subunit ribosomal RNA", at positions 1538 to 1758 of the family's 2925-position model. The record is from RNAcentral. Lineage: Bacteria; Bacillati; Bacillota; Bacilli; Caryophanales; Staphylococcaceae.
AAAUCCGGUACUCUUAAGGUCAAGUUGUGAUGGGGAGAGGAAAUUUUUUCCUCGAGUCGUUGAUUUCACACUGCCAAGAAAAGCCUCUAGCUAGCAUUUUGGUGCCCGUACCGCAAACCGACACAGGUAGUCAAGAUGAGAAUUCUAAGGUGAGCGAGCGAACUCUCGUUAAGGAACUCGGCAAAAUGACCCCGUAACUUCGGGAGAAGGGGUGCUCUUUAG